CCUGUUGCCGGACCCCACAAGGCUUGGCGUUCCUUCCUCCUGUUGCCGGACCCCACAAGGCUUGGCGUUCCUUCCUCCUGUUGCCGGACCCCACAAGGCUUGGCGUUCCUUCCUCCUGUUGCCGGACCCCACAAGGCUUUUCCAGUUGUUUUCUCAGGAGUGGGACAGGACUUCACUAACUCAUGAACCAAGUAAAGAAGAGCUUCCCUUUCAACAUCUAACAAAGGAUCCCAUCCUUCUUCUGAUGCACUGUUAUCAACGCGAGUGCUGAGGGUUGCCUCGGCCGGGUAAAUAUCCAUUGACACAAUGACAAAUCUCUCCGGUGGCUGAGCGGAAUGGUGGGCCCUAGAGAAGGCAAGAAGAGGCUGAGGAGAGCAACCCCACAACAGAUGCCCAUUCCCUUUUUGACUAGGUUUGCAAAAGCCUCGUGUACACUCAAGGUCAUGAGGCUUUUGCAAAGAGGGGGCAUAUUUUCCCGGGAAACGACUUCACCCCAGGAGUGGAAUCCACACCUUAGUUCACAGAGCUCCCUUCAAACUAGUUACUGAAGUUGCAGCCCAGGUUUGCACCGGUUACCCCUAUCCCAUCUCUUGAUUCCGAGUCUGGGUGCCCAACCCCCCUCCCUUCCCCUGGCUCCGCAUCCAGUGCGGGGUGCAAAUGUCACGUCCAGUCCUGGCAGGGUGCAAGAAACAAGGCUGGAGCCCACAGUGAACCAGUCUGUAGGGCCAAGCGGUGGGGGCAGAGGGUGCGCUAGUGAAAGCGAUCCCCGCCCUCUCUUGGCCUUCUGCAGGGACACCUCGGCAUCCACUCACCCCCCUCAGGUGACAGUGUGGGAUUAGCCGGUCGCCAUUUGGGGCCGAGUAGGAAUUUUCCCCAUCCACCCGGAUUGGCCUGGAGGUGGCUGGUUUUUUGCCUACUCUGCACUGUUGCACUGGAAGGGAUUUCUGAUCUGGCGGAUGUUAGGAGUGGUGCCGCUAAAUAGUGUAGCCCCUUGGUCACCAUGGCAGGUCCGGGGGGGGGGGAUGUAGUGCCCCACCCCAUUGGUGGCAGGUGCGAUUUCCCCCAGCUACACUCUAGUUCUCUGCUAAAAUGAGUCAAUAAAGUGAUGGCCCUAGUUUCAACCCA
Molecule: long non-coding RNA, 1125 nt
Organism: Hemicordylus capensis (graceful crag lizard)
Lineage: Eukaryota; Metazoa; Chordata; Lepidosauria; Squamata; Cordylidae
Exons: 2
Source: RefSeq, a predicted model, not a curated record